AGGAGCUGCAGGUGGGACAGAGCCCCCCGCCCCUCCCCCCCGUGAAGCUGGCGUGCGUGGGGGCGCUGCUGCUGCUCACCUGGUACCUGGCACCGCUCAGCCUCCCUUGGGGCCCCGCCCCUCCCCCUCCCCCACGCGGGGGGCGGCGCCUCCUGGGGGCGGGGCCGGAGC
Molecule: long non-coding RNA, 171 nt
Organism: Camarhynchus parvulus
Lineage: Eukaryota; Metazoa; Chordata; Aves; Passeriformes; Thraupidae
Exons: 3
Source: RefSeq, a predicted model, not a curated record